GACGAACGCUGGCGGCGUGCUUAACACAUGCAAGUCGAACGGAAAGGCCCCUUUGGGGCUCCUCGAGGGGCGAACGGGUGAGUAACACGAGAGUAACCUUCCCCUGACUUCGGGCGGACUACAGGAAACGGGGGCGAAUACUGGUAAGGCAUCCCUACUGCAUGGAGGGGGCUGGAAAGCGUCGGCGGUUUUGGCUGGACUGGCGGCUUAUCCGCUUGUUGGUGGGGUAGUGGCUUACCAAGGCUCUGACGGGUGGCCGGCCUGGGAGGGCGACCGGCCACAUUGGGACUGAGAUACGGACCAGACUCCUACGGGAGGCAGCAGUGGGGAAUAUUGCACAAUGGGCGGAAGCCUGAUGCAGCAACGCCGCGAGCGGGAUGACGGCCUUCGGGUUGUAAACCGCUUUCAGCAGGGGCGAAGCUUGUGGUGACGGUACCUUCAGAAGAAGCACCGGCUAACUACGUG
This 465-nucleotide ribosomal RNA is filed under the name uncultured bacterium. RNAcentral describes it as "partial 16S ribosomal RNA". It matches the Rfam family "Bacterial small subunit ribosomal RNA", at positions 28 to 507 of the family's 1533-position model. The record is from RNAcentral.